Molecule: ribosomal RNA, 434 nt
Filed under: uncultured bacterium
Lineage: Bacteria
Description: partial 16S ribosomal RNA
Rfam family: Bacterial small subunit ribosomal RNA
Source: RNAcentral
AGCGAACGCUGGCGGCAGGCCUAACACAUGCAAGUCGAACGAACCUUUCGGGGUUAGUGGCGGACGGGUGAGUAACACGUGGGAACGUGCCUUUAGGUUCGGAAUAACUCAGGGAAACUUGUGCUAAUACCGAAUGUGUCCUUCGGGGGAAAGAUUAAUCGCCUUUAGAGCGGCCCGCGUCUGAUUAGCUAGUUGGUUGAGGUAAUGGCUCACCAAGGCGACGAUCAGUAGCUGGGCUGAGAGGAUGAUCAGCCACAUUUGGACAGAGACACGGACCAAACUCCUACGCGCUGCCGCAAUGUGCAAUCUUACUCUAUGAACGAAAUUCUGACUCUCCCAUGCCGCGUGAAUGAUGCAGGCCUUAGAAUUAUCAGAUUCUUUCCCCGGGGACGAUAAUGACGGUAACCAGAGAACAAGCCCCGGCUAACUUCGUG